Non-coding RNA from Petromyzon marinus (sea lamprey), 2044 nucleotides. Lineage: Eukaryota; Metazoa; Chordata; Hyperoartia; Petromyzontiformes; Petromyzontidae. The record is from RefSeq and is a predicted model, not a curated record.
ACGGACACAUUAAUCUAUUGCAGGCUGGUACACUCAGUUUACAACUUCGUUCCUACCAGUAUGAGUGUUUUAUACAUGUGGGAGGACACCUGGAGGAAAGUCACGUGAGAGAGGGGAGGGGGGAUAACACCCAAUUCCCAAACAGAUGGAGGAGACAUGGAAAUUCACCCACUUGUCCUGCCAUCAUACCCUGGCAAGCCAGGAGAUGGCACCAUUUGGUAGGAGCUGGGGAGUUUCACCAAUGCGUGGUCCAUCAAAGCUCAGCUUCACACGCUGCUGGAUCGCAGGCGUCUGCAAACGUGCUGAUGAGAUGUAAAUGGAUCAGAAAUAUUGAUAAUCAGUUGUCUUCUUUUCAAUAGAAGACAGAUGUAUUGCAUCGUUCCAAUAUUGAGGCAUUUCUUAUUGGUAUUGAAUUAAAUACGUCUGCUAAUUUUGAAUCAACAGCUGGUCCCAUUAUGUUGAAGUUCAUUGAUUGCACAUGGCAUACAGCUCUCCAUUUAAUUCAUAUUGCAAAUGGCAGUGGUAAAUGCUCUUUUAACAACACUUCUACACUCCAAUACUUCUACACUCCUAUAAUACUUCUAUAAAACUUCUAGACUCCUACAACACUUCUAUAAAACUUCUACACUCCUACAAUACUUAUCGUUUACUUUCUUACUUUGCCCAUUACCAUCAAUGGACUAUCUAUAACAAUGUUAUUUAUUCAUUCUUUAAAGUGGUGACAUCCGUUUAAUCAUUUUCGUGAGGAAUUUGAAUCUGUUGCUUAGAAUCAGUUUUACUUCUGCUACCUCCUGAUCUAAGUUUUUGAUAUUAACUAUGUUGUUUUACUUGCAUUUAGGUCUGUCUUCUGAUGAUAUUGGAGAGUAACUUGCAUCACCCCAGCCUGUGAUCACUGUGAUGAAAUGUUCUGAGGACAGAAAUGUCCUAUGUGUUGUAACAAUCAGGCAUUUAGCUAAUCACACAGUGCCACUGCUGUCAGGUUUCUUUACAGACAGGAAAGCAUUGACCGUAAAGCCUGGGAGCCAGGGAGGAGGUAGCGUUGUGGUGCCUGGGAGCCAGGGAGUAGGUGGCGCUGUGGUGCCUGGGAGCCAGGGAGGAGGUGGCGCUGUGGUACCUGGGAGCCAGGGAGGAGGUGGCGCUGUUGGUGCCUGGGAGCCAGGGAGGAGGUGGCGUUGUGGUGCCUGGGAGCCAGGGCGGAGGUGGCGCUAUGGUGCCUGGGAGCCAGGGCGGAGGUGGCGCUGUGGUGCCUGGGAGCCAGGGAGUAGGUGGCGCUGUGGUGCGUUCCACUCCUAUCCGGCGGUGUGUACUUGCACAAACUUAAAGAGAAUAUGAGUUAACAAAUUUAGCAUGCCAUUUGUGUCCUAAUUAUAUAUAUUGUAUAUAACAAUGUCGAGGAAGUAAUUACUUGUACAUAAGAUUUAAAUUAAUUUACAUGCAGGCUAAUAUUUAACGUUAUUCCUGCGAGCGAGCGAGUAGGCAGAGUGCCGAUGCAAGUGGAACGCUGCUACUGCUGCUCAUGAUUCCCUGACCCAUUACCUCUCGGACAAAUACGAUGCGUAGUGCGUUCCUUGUAUCUUUACCAAGGAAAUUCUGUUAUGUAUUGUUCGUGUAGGAUUUUUGUGUAUAUAUAUUUUUAAACACUGGUUUUAAUGAAAACUUGGUAAAUGCUGCAGAAAUCUCCUAUAGUUGUAUGAUAUUAGGGUUUAACACCUGUCCGGUGUUGACAGUCCAGGAAUUGGCAUCUGUAUUCGAGUGGCAAGGAUUGAGUUGUACUGAGAUCUGGUACCGGUGUUGUAUUAAACUUGAUUCCAGUGUACUGCACAGUUUUGAUAACAGACCUAGACUGAUGGAAAUAUAUCCGGGUUUGUUCUGUGGAAAGGUUGGCAACCCUAAGUAGAGUCCUUAAAGGACUUUGCGAAUCCAGCAGUCUGCACGAGUCUAUUCCAAUGCGUUUUUGAGCGGGUUAUUAGUGUCGCUGCCUAAUCAUGAUUCGGGCUUAUUGGCAAAGAUGAAUUUAAAACUGAAAUAAAAUGUUUUAAACUCU